This 207-nucleotide ribosomal RNA is filed under the name uncultured bacterium. RNAcentral describes it as "partial 16S ribosomal RNA". It matches the Rfam family "Bacterial small subunit ribosomal RNA", at positions 568 to 774 of the family's 1533-position model. The record is from RNAcentral.
UGCGUAGGCGGGUCUUUAAGUCAGGGGUGAAAUCCUGGAGCUCAACUCCAGAACUGCCUUUGAUACUGAGGAUCUUGAGUUCGGGAGAGGUGAGUGGAACUGCGAGUGUAGAGGUGAAAUUCGUAGAUAUUCGCAAGAACACCAGUGGCGAAGGCGGCUCACUGGCCCGAUACUGACGCUGAGGCACGAAAGCGUGAGGAGCAAACA